UACGUAGGUGGCAAGCGUUGUCCGGAAUUAUUGGGCGUAAAGCGCGCGCAGGCGGCCUCUUAAGUCUGAUGUGAAAGCCCCCGGCUCAACCGGGGAGGGCCAUUGGAAACUGGGAGGCUUGAGUAUAGGAGAGAAGAGUGGAAUUCCACGUGUAGCGGUGAAAUGCGUAGAGAUGUGGAGGACACCAGUGGCGAAGGCGACUCUUUGGCCUAUAACUGACGCUGAGGCGCGAAAGCGUGGGGAGCAAACAGG
This 252-nucleotide ribosomal RNA is filed under the name uncultured bacterium. RNAcentral describes it as "partial 16S ribosomal RNA". It matches the Rfam family "Bacterial small subunit ribosomal RNA", at positions 524 to 776 of the family's 1533-position model. The record is from RNAcentral.